RNAcentral lists this ribosomal RNA (381 nucleotides) under uncultured Denitratisoma sp. RNAcentral's name for it is "bacterial SSU rRNA". It matches the Rfam family "Bacterial small subunit ribosomal RNA", at positions 525 to 904 of the family's 1533-position model. Lineage: Bacteria; Pseudomonadati; Pseudomonadota; Betaproteobacteria; Nitrosomonadales; Sterolibacteriaceae. The record is from RNAcentral.
ACGUAGGGUGCGAGCGUUAAUGGGAAUUACUGGGCGUAAAGCUGGCGCAGGCGGUUUCGUAAGACAGAUGUGAAAUCCCCGGGCUUAACCUGGGAACUGCGUUUCUGACUGCGAGACUUGAGUGCGGCAGAGGGGGGUGGAAUUCCACGUGUAGCAGUGAAAUGCGUAGAGAUGUGGAGGAACACCGAUGGCGAAGGCAGCCCCCUGGGUCGACACUGACGCUCAUGCACGAAAGCGUGGGGAGCAAACAGGAUUAGAUACCCUGGUAGUCCACGCCCUAAACGAUGCGAACUAGGUGUUGGGGAAGGAGACUUCUUUAGUACCGUAGCUAACGCGUGAAGUUCGCCGCCUGGGGAGUACGGUCGCAAGAUUAAAACUCAA